CCUACGGGUGGCUGCAGUGGGGGAUAUUGCACAAUGGGGGAAACCCUGAUGCAGCGACGCCGCGUGAAGGAUGACGUAUUUCGGUAUGUAAACUUCUAUCAGCCAGGAAGAAAAUUACGGUACCUUACUAAGAAGCCCCGGCUAACUACGGGCCAGCAGCCGCGGUAAUACGUAGGGGGCAAGCGUUAUCCGGAUUUACUGGGUGGAAAGGGGGCGUAGACGGUAUGGCAAGGUUGAUGUGAAAACCCGGGGCUCAACCCCGGGACUGCAUUGAAAACUGCCGAACUAGAGUGUCGGAGAGGCAAGUGGAAUUCCUAGUGUAGCGGUGAAAUGCGUAGAUAUUAGGAGGAACACCAGUGGCGAAGGCGGCUUGCUGGACGAUGACUGACGUUGAGGCUCGAAAGCGUGGGGAGCAAACAGGAUUAGAUACCCGAGUAGUC
This 440-nucleotide ribosomal RNA is filed under the name uncultured bacterium. RNAcentral describes it as "partial 16S ribosomal RNA". It matches the Rfam family "Bacterial small subunit ribosomal RNA", at positions 338 to 795 of the family's 1533-position model. The record is from RNAcentral.